UUCAGAACUGGGCACAAGGAACAGAUAAAUGCCACAAUCAAAGGCGACAAAAACCAUCCCAAACUCUCCCAGCCCCGCGGCACCCACGGGGUGGGGGCCAGGCCUGAUGGACAAUUAAUAUUUUUAUCUGCUCCAUGUAUCCAAACAACGGCGAGGGGGAAGGAAAUACUCCUAAUUAGCCAAGUGCUCAGGGCGCUGAGCAAUCACGUCCCUCCCAUUUCCAGAGAAACCCAAUUUAGAUUUUAAAAGCCCCCGCUCCCCAUUUCUCCUCAGCGUCUCAGAUCCUCACAGUCUCAGCUCCUCAGCCUCUCAGCUCCUCAGCGUUUCCUCUCGAGCUCCUUCUGAUCCAGGUCUCCAACCAUGUCCUCCCGCCAGGACGAGGAACCGUCCUCCCAGCACAGCGGGGAAUCCCGUUGUGUCUGGGGCAUUGGCAGACCCGCUAGCCCCGGGAGAGGCGGCGGAUCCGGUAGCUCCGGGAGAGGCGGCGGAUCCGGUAGCCCCGGGAGAGGUGGCGGAUCCAGUAGCCGUGGGAGAGGUGGCAAACCUGCUAGCCCCGGGAGCGGUGGCGGAUCCGGUAGCCACACAAGCAGUGGCGGAUCCGGUAGCCACGCAGACAGUGGCGGAUCCGUUAGCCACGGGAGCAGCGGUGGAUCUGGUUGCCAUAUGAGCAACAGCGGAUUCAAUUUCCACGGGAACAUUUCUGGCAGCCAAGGGAGCAGCGGAUCGGGAUUCCAUGGGGCCAGCGUCGCAUCCUGCCAUGGGAAUACGGAGGUGUGCCUCCAGCACAUCCACAGAAAACCCUCGGAUGACAAGUGAUCACCCCACCAGGUGAUCCACAGGAGUGCCCUGGAUCCUGUGCCACCUUCCGAAAGCUUUGCCUGUGCCCAGGAAUUUUUAAUUUCCGAGGACAAUGUGUCCUUCCCCUCCCCUGGUGUGUCCUGUAACCCGUCCUGAGCUUGUCUGUGGGUGCUGAAAUAAACGCUUUGCUCAGCUGGCA
This is a long non-coding RNA of Serinus canaria (Common canary), 997 nucleotides long. RefSeq lists it as uncharacterized. The transcript has 2 exons. The record is from RefSeq and is a predicted model, not a curated record. NCBI's taxonomy places the organism in Eukaryota, Metazoa, Chordata, Aves, Passeriformes, Fringillidae.